AUGAGUAUACUAAGUUGGAACUGCCGGGGAGGGGGGAAUUCCCGGACAGUUCGUGAUCUCGCGAUGAUUUGCCAGUCGCAUUCCCCCAAUUUGGUUUUUCUGUGUGAAACUAGGCAAAAGGCGGAAAAGAUGAGGAGGAUUCGUGGGCGUCUCGGCCUCAAGGGUUUUUGUGGUGUAGAUAGUGAAGGAAUGAGUGGUGGGUUGGCUCUGUACUGGCAUGAGGCGUAUGUAGUGGAGAUUCUUGACAAAACAGGACGAUAUAUCGAUGCUCUUGUACAGGUAGAUCAGAAUGUAGAAAAAUGGAGGGUCACUUUCGUAUAUGGAGAGCCAAGAGUUGAGAAUAGACAUCUUAUGUGGACAACAUUACAGAGCCUUAAAACCGAGAGUGACUUACCUUGGUUAGUGCUGGGUGAUUUUAAUGAGGCGAUGUGGGAUUUUGAACACAUGUCGGCAACUCCGAGAGCUGAAUCUCAAAUGGUGGCGUUUCGGGACUGUUUGGAAGUAUGUGGUCUGGUGGAUCUCGGAUUUGUAGGGGUGCCUUUCACCUACGACAACAAACGAGCUGCCGCAAAUAAUGUUCGGGUUCGUCUUGACUGA
Molecule: ribosomal RNA, 597 nt
Filed under: Triticum aestivum (bread wheat)
Lineage: Eukaryota; Viridiplantae; Streptophyta; Magnoliopsida; Poales; Poaceae
Description: partial small subunit ribosomal RNA
Source: RNAcentral